RNAcentral lists this long non-coding RNA (529 nucleotides) under Homo sapiens (human). RNAcentral's name for it is "non-protein coding lnc-IL10-5:1". Lineage: Eukaryota; Metazoa; Chordata; Mammalia; Primates; Hominidae. The record is from RNAcentral.
AUGCACAGCUCAGCACUGCUCUGUUGCCUGGUCCUCCUGACUGGGGUGAGGGCCAGCCCAGGCCAGGGCACCCAGUCUGAGAACAGCUGCACCCACUUCCCAGGCAACCUGCCUAACAUGCUUCGAGAUCUCCGAGAUGCCUUCAGCAGAGUGAAGACUUUCUUCAAAUGAAGGAUCAGCUGGACAACUUGUUGUUAAAGGAGUCCUUGCUGGAGGACUUUAAGGUUACCUGGGUUGCCAAGCCUUGUCUGAGAUGAUCCAGUUUUACCUGGAGGAGGUGAUGCCCCAAGCUGAGAACCAAGACCCAGACAUCAAGGCGCAUGUGAACUCCCUGGGGGAGAACCUGAAGACCCUCAGGCUGAGGCUACGGCGCUGCAUCGAUUUCUUCCCUGUGAAAACAAGAGCAAGGCCGUGGAGCAGGUGAAGAAUGCCUUUAAUAACUCCAAGAGAAAGGCAUCUACAAAGCCAUGAGUGAGUUUGACAUCUUCAUCAACUACAUAGAAGCCUACAUGACAAUGAAGAUACGAAA